This 416-nucleotide long non-coding RNA is filed under the name Actinidia chinensis (golden kiwifruit). RNAcentral describes it as "long non-coding RNA (ACHI_LNC007051)". The record is from RNAcentral. Lineage: Eukaryota; Viridiplantae; Streptophyta; Magnoliopsida; Ericales; Actinidiaceae.
CAGAAAUCAAAAUCCCCAAAUACCCCUCCCCCAAACCCAUUGGCCAUCAUCGACCACCCUCCGGGCCUCAACCGCACAUACCAUCAUCGGCCACCAGGGGGAGAGAGAAAGAUGUUUCCAGUCGGACGCUAUACUUGUCGUCGUCUCUACACCGCCUAGAACCUUGCGAUGUUGACAAAGAGUGCGAUUCGAGCACUGAUGUGUGAUUCAAACGGUGGUAGGUGCGAUUCGAGCAUUGGCAAGUUCAUCUCUCUCUCUGUGCGUGGUUUUGGGUGGCCAUGGCAGCGGUGGUAUCUAUUGUGGUUUGGGUGUGUUUUUUUAUUUUGGGGGUUGCGGUUUUGGGUUUGGGUUUUAGGUUGACCAAAAACAUGGCCACGAUGGUUGCGUCCCCUCCCCAAAACUCCCUAACUGACUCC